CACCAUGCAGCGGGGCAGCCUCUUCCUGCUGCUGGGGAUCCUCGCCCUCUGGGCCGCGCUUCAGCCUGCGUCUGGGCAGUUCAUUCCAGGGAAGCCCGGGAAGUGCCCUCCUGACUACAUCCGGUGCAUCCAUGCCGAGCCGAAUGAGUGCCUCCACGACCACCAGUGCAGGGGAUGGCUGAAAUGCUGCUACUCACGAUGUGCCUACCGCUGCGUGGCACCUCUGCCAGGCCAAGCCUGAGGAGGAGGCAUUGCAGGGAGCAGGUCUGAUGCUGCCCAGCAGGACGGCAAGGAGGACCCUCCUAUCCUCGACCUGGACCCAAGAGCUCUUCCGUGCUCCUCCUUCAGUCUCACACCCACUUUCUGCAUCACCCUGCAUUGCCCUGAACCCAGCCCCAGCCCUGGGUUUGCUCCUCUUCGUGUCUGCCCGCAGCGGCACCAGGGGUUGUGCCCAGGGCCCGCUCUCUACCCCCUGCGCUCCCACUGCAGACGCUUCUCAAUAAAGAUGCUCCUUCCUGCA
Molecule: long non-coding RNA, 520 nt
Organism: Alligator mississippiensis (American alligator)
Lineage: Eukaryota; Metazoa; Chordata; Crocodylia; Alligatoridae
Exons: 3
Source: RefSeq, a predicted model, not a curated record